GACGAACGCUGGCGGCGUGCUUAACACAUGCAAGUCGAACGGAAAGGCCCUGCUUUUGUGGGGUGCUCGAGUGGCGAACGGGUGAGUAACACGUGAGUAACCUGCCCUUGACUUCGGGAUAACUUCAGGAAACUGGGGCUAAUACCGGAUAGGAGCUCCUGCUGCAUGGUGGGGGUUGGAAAGUUUCGGCGGUUGGGGAUGGACUCGCGGCUUAUCAGCUUGUUGGUGGGGUAGUGGCUUACCAAGGCUUUGACGGGUAGCCGGCCUGAGAGGGUGACCGGCCACAUUGGGACUGAGAUACGGCCCAGACUCCUACGGGAGGCAGCAGUGGAGAAUAUUGCACAAUGGGCGGAAGCCUGAUGCAGCAACGCCGCGUGCGGGAUGACGGCCUUCGGGUUGUAAACCGCUUUCGCCUGUGACGAAGCGUGAGUGACGGUAAUGGGUAAAGAAGCACCGGCUAACUACGUGCCAGCAGCCGCGGUGAUACGUAGGGUGCGAGCGUUGUCCGGAUUUAUUGGGCGUAAAGGGCUCGUAGGUGGUUGAUCGCGUCGGAAGUGUAAUCUUGGGGCUUAACCCUGAGCGUGCUUUCGAUACGGGUUGACUUGAGGAAGGUAGGGGAGAAUGGAAUUCCUGGUGGAGCGGUGGAAUGCGCAGAUAUCAGGAGGAACACCAGUGGCGAAGGCGGUUCUCUGGGCCUUUCCUGACGCUGAGGAGCGAAAGCGUGGGGAGCGAACAGGCUUAGAUACCCUGGUAGUCCACGCUGUAAACGGUGGGUACUAGGUGUGGGGUCCAUUCCACGGGUUCCGUGCCGUAGCUAACGCUUUAAGUACCCCGCCUGGGGAGUACGGCCGCAAGGCUAAAACUCAAAGGAAUUGACGGGGCCCCGCACAAGCGGCGGAGCAUGCGGAUUAAUUCGAUGCAACGCGUAGAACCUUACCUGGGUUUGACAUGGAUCGGGAGUGCUCAGAGAUGGGUGUGCCUCUUUUGGGGUCGGUUCACAGGUGGUGCAUGGCUGUCGUCAGCUCGUGUCGUGAGAUGUUGGGUUAAGUCCCGCAACGAGCGCAACCCUUGUUCACUGUUGCCAGCACGUUAUGGUGGGGACUCAGUGGAGACCGCCGGGGUCAACUCGGAGGAAGGUGGGGAUGACGUCAAGUCAUCAUGCCCCUUAUGUCCAGGGCUUCACGCAUGCUACAAUGGCUGGUACAGAGAGUGGCGAGCCUGUGAGGGUGAGCGAAUCUCGGAAAGCCGGUCUCAGUUCGGAUUGGGGUCUGCAACUCGACCUCAUGAAGUCGGAGUCGCUAGUAAUCGCAGAUCAGCAACGCUGCGGUGAAAACGUUCCCGGG
Molecule: ribosomal RNA, 1343 nt
Filed under: uncultured bacterium
Lineage: Bacteria
Description: 16S ribosomal RNA
Rfam family: Bacterial small subunit ribosomal RNA
Source: RNAcentral